This 468-nucleotide ribosomal RNA is filed under the name uncultured bacterium. Its description in RNAcentral is "partial 16S ribosomal RNA". It matches the Rfam family "Bacterial small subunit ribosomal RNA", at positions 28 to 507 of the family's 1533-position model. The record is from RNAcentral.
GACGAACGCUGGCGGCGUGCUUAACACAUGCAAGUCGAACGGAAAGGCCCUGCUUUUGUGGGGUGCUCGAGUGGCGAACGGGUGAGUAACACGUGAGUAACCUGCCCUUGACUUUGGGAUAACUUCAGGAAACUGGGGCUAAUACCGGAUAGGAGCUCCUGCUGCAUGGUGGGGGUUGGAAAGUUUCGGCGGUUGGGGAUGGACUCGCGGCUUAUCAGCUUGUUGGUGGGGUAGUGGCUUACCAAGGCUUUGACGGGUAGCCGGCCUGAGAGGGUGACCGGCCACAUGGGGACUGAGAGACGGCGCAGACUCCUACGGGAGGCAGCAGUGGGGAAUAUUGCACAAUGGGCGGAAGCCUGAGGCAGCAACGCCGCGUGCGGGAUGACGGCCUUCGGGUUGUAAACCGCUUUCGCCUGUGACGAAGCGUGAGUGACGGUAAUGGGUAAAGAAGCACCGGCUAACUACGUG